Molecule: ribosomal RNA, 2917 nt
Filed under: Aeromonas hydrophila
Lineage: Bacteria; Pseudomonadati; Pseudomonadota; Gammaproteobacteria; Aeromonadales; Aeromonadaceae
Description: 23S ribosomal RNA
Rfam family: Bacterial large subunit ribosomal RNA
Source: RNAcentral
GUUGUAUGGUUAAGUGACUAAGCGUACAUGGUGGAUGCCUUGGCAGUCAGAGGCGAUGAAGGACGUACUAACCUGCGAUAAGCCGUGAGCAGUCGGUAAGAGACAUUACGACUCACGGAUUUCCGAAUGGGGAAACCCACUUAGCAUAAGCUAGGUAUCGCUACGUGAAUACAUAGCGUAGCGAGGCGAACCGGGAGAACUGAAACAUCUAAGUACCCCGAGGAAAAGAAAUCAACCGAGAUUCCCUCAGUAGCGGCGAGCGAACGGGGAUUAGCCCUUAAGCAUCUUGGAAGUUAGUGGAACGGUCCUGGAAAGGCCGGCGAUACAGGGUGAUAGCCCCGUACACGAAAACAACCUUGAUGUGAAAUCGAGUAGGGCGGGACACGUGACAUCCUGUCUGAAUAUGGGGGGACCAUCCUCCAAGGCUAAAUACUCCUGACUGACCGAUAGUGAACCAGUACCGUGAGGGAAAGGCGAAAAGAACCCCUGUGAGGGGAGUGAAAUAGAACCUGAAACCGUGUACGUACAAGCAGUGGGAGCCCUUCGGGGUGACUGCGUACCUUUUGUAUAAUGGGUCAGCGACUUACAUUUUGUAGCGAGGUUAACCGUAUAGGGGAGCCGUAGGGAAACCGAGUCUUAACUGGGCGUCUAGUUGCAAGGUGUAGACCCGAAACCGGGUGAUCUAGCCAUGGGCAGGUUGAAGGUUGAGUAACAUCAACUGGAGGACCGAACCCACUAACGUUGCAAAGUUAGGGGAUGACCUGUGGCUGGGGGUGAAAGGCCAAUCAAACUCGGAGAUAGCUGGUUCUCCCCGAAAGCUAUUUAGGUAGCGCCUCGGACGAAUACUACUGGGGGUAGAGCACUGUUUGGGCUAGGGGGUCAUCCCGACUUACCAACCCCAUGCAAACUCCGAAUACCAGUAAGUAAUAUCCGGGAGACACACGGCGGGUGCUAACGUCCGUCGUGAAGAGGGAAACAACCCAGACCGCCGGCUAAGGUCCCAAAGUUCUGGUUAAGUGGGAAACGAUGUGGGAAGGCUCAGACAGCUAGGAUGUUGGCUUAGAAGCAGCCAUCAUUUAAAGAAAGCGUAAUAGCUCACUAGUCGAGUCGGCCUGCGCGGAAGAUGUAACGGGGCUCAAACCAGGCACCGAAGCCGCGGAUUCACACUAAGUGUGAGUGGUAGGGGAGCGUUCUGUAAGUCUGCGAAGGUGUGUCGAGAGGCAUGCUGGAGAUAUCAGAAGUGCGAAUGCUGACGUAAGUAACGAUAAAGGGGGUGAAAAGCCUCCUCGCCGGAAGACCAAGGGUUCCUGUCCAACGUUAAUCGGGGCAGGGUGAGUCGACCCCUAAGGCGAGGCCGAAAGGCGUAGUCGAUGGGAAGCAGGUUAAUAUUCCUGCACGACUUGUAAUUGCGAUGGGGGGACGGAGAAGGCUAGGUGGGCCAGGCGACGGUUGUCCUGGUGAAAGUGCGUAGGUGGUGUUUCUAGGCAAAUCCGGAGACACAACACUGAGACACGAGACGAACACACUACGGUGUGGAAGCCAUUGAUGCCCUGCUUCCAGGAAAAGCCUCUAAGCUUCAGAUUACAAGUCAUCGUACCCCAAACCGACACAGGUGGUCGGGUAGAGAAUACCAAGGCGCUUGAGAGAACUCGGGUGAAGGAACUAGGCAAAAUAGAACCGUAACUUCGGGAGAAGGUUCGCUCUUGACAGUGAAGUCCCUUGCGGAUGGAGCAGUUGGGAGUCGCAGUGACCAGAUGGCUGGGACUGUUUAUCAAAAACACAGCACUCUGCAAACACGAAAGUGGACGUAUAGGGUGUGACACCUGCCCGGUGCCGGAAGGUUAAUUGAUGGGGUUAGCGCAAGCGAAGCUCUUGAUCGAAGCCCCGGUAAACGGCGGCCGUAACUAUAACGGUCCUAAGGUAGCGAAAUUCCUUGUCGGGUAAGUUCCGACCUGCACGAAUGGUGUAACCAUGGCCAUGCUGUCUCCACCCGAGACUCAGUGAAAUCGAAUUCGCCGUGAAGAUGCGGUGUACCCGCGGCUAGACGGAAAGACCCCGUGAACCUUUACUACAGCUUGGCACUGAACAUUGAACCUACAUGUGUAGGAUAGGUGGGAGGCUUUGAAGGCGUGACGCCAGUUGCGCUGGAGCCGUCCUUGAAAUACCACCCUUGUAUGUUUGAUGUUCUAACGCAGGCCCGUGAAUCCGGGUCGCGGACAGUGCCUGGUGGGUAGUUUGACUGGGGCGGUCUCCUCCCAAAGAGUAACGGAGGAGCACGAAGGUUGGCUAAUCCUGGUCGGACAUCAGGAGGUUAGUGCAAUGGCAUAAGCCAGCUUAACUGCGAGACGGACAGGUCGAGCAGGUACGAAAGUAGGUCAUAGUGAUCCGGUGGUUCUGAAUGGAAGGGCCAUCGCUCAACGGAUAAAAGGUACUCCGGGGAUAACAGGCUGAUACCGCCCAAGAGUUCAUAUCGACGGCGGUGUUUGGCACCUCGAUGUCGGCUCAUCACAUCCUGGGGCUGAAGUCGGUCCCAAGGGUAUGGCUGUUCGCCAUUUAAAGUGGUACGCGAGCUGGGUUCAGAACGUCGUGAGACAGUUCGGUCCCUAUCUGCCGUGGGCGUUGGAUGAUUGAAGGGAGUUGCUCCUAGUACGAGAGGACCGGAGUGAACGAACCUCUGGUGUUCGGGUUGUCACGCCAGUGGCACUGCCCGGUAGCUAAGUUCGGAAUCGAUAACCGCUGAAAGCAUCUAAGCGGGAAGCGAGCCCUGAGAUGAGUCAUCCCUGACCCCUUGAGGGUCCUAAAGGGCCGUUGGAGACCACAACGUUGAUAGGUGGGGUGUGUAAGCGCGGCGACGUGUUGAGCUAACCCAUACUAAUUACCCGUGAGGCUUAACCAUACAACACCCAAGAAGUGUUCU